CUUUUUCUUUUUUCUUUUUCUUUUUUUUUUUUCUUCCCAUUUUUUAAGUGCUUGUAACAUUUCCCCUCAUCGACAAUGAGAUGAGGAGGGAGGGAGGGGUGGCUUAUCUGCCCAGGCAGAUCAGGAAUGGUCACCACCUGUGUGUGCAGUGACAGGUCUGGGAACAGACAAGGGAGAGCUUGUCCGGGAGGCUGGACCCACACACCGAUGCUGCCUGUGCCUGGCAGCUCAGUCCCGGGCUUCGGAACAGACACUGACCAACGGGCUCCUCAGGGUCUCCAGGCCCGGGUCCUGGUCCCUGGCAGAGCUUCCCGUCCGUGGAAAGGAUCACAGGACAGCCUUGCUGGCUCCUUGUGGGGAGCUGGGAUGUGUUUCUAAGAGCAGCAUGCGUGAAGCCCGGGGUUUGGGCAAAGGAGUGUUUGGGGAAGUGUCUGCUGUUGUUGGAGGGUGGGGAGUAGAGGGGAAGGAGGGGCAAGCGGUGGGCUGAGGAGGUGGCUGGCCACCCUUUGGUGGGGACGAGGGGCUAUGGACAGACCUGGAGCCAGCAUCACGUGUCUCUGUCUCCAGAGUCGAGGACGGAGAGCUGCCAGAGAGGCCCUGGCGGGGUGUCUGGGGGCACCUAAAGGACGUGGGUGGAUUAAAGCUGAGGAAAGCCUCAUUUUGGGGGACUCCGUACUUAACCUUUGAGGCCCUCAGAGCUGCAGCCUGUGGUUUUUCGAAGUCAGUCACUUCCCAGGGCCUCCCUCCUGCCUUCAGCGACUGCCAUUUAUCUGGGAGUCUUUGACCCAAGGAGACCUGAAAGGUCAUCUGGUCCCUCUCCUACCCCCAGGCAGGCCACACCUAGACCCUCCCACACAGAUCCGUCCUCACACUUCUGCUGCCUUCCACGAGGGAGGGAGGGAGGGUGGGCGGCCCUCUCACCCAGGCCCUGGUGGCCCCACCCCAGCCAGGAAAUUCUUCCUCUUUAUCUGCCUCACAUCUCUUCCCCUGCGGCUUCCGCCCAUUUCCCCUCAAUCUGCUCCUAGUGGAGCAGCCAGCAGCUGGUUUAAAACCCGGGGGUGGGGGGUGGGGGAGCACUAGACCAGUGCAUCACGUCUGAGUGUGUGCCAGAUGCGCUCCCAUUCCCAUAACUGAUUUAGUAAAGAAAAAAGGAAGUCCAGCAACUUAGCGCGACUUUAAAGUCUGCCUGGAAUGACCCUGUGGCUGCCGGAACCAGGGGCACACGGUAGAUGGGGGGAGCAGGCACAGAGAGGCCUUCGUCCCAGAUCAGUCGCUGUGGCCCUCUUGGAGGCUAGGCUGUCUUUCAAGAACAGGACCCAAGGCCCUGCGAGUGGUGGCCUCCUCUGGAGCCUUUACUGUGGUCCUGGUUCUGCUCUGCAUAAAGAGAGAUGGCUUGAAGCAGAAGCUGCUAUGUGGCUGUCCCAGGUGCCUGGCACAGCUAUGAGGUGGCUCCCUGACUCUGGGUGUGGUUACUCCAAGACCCUUCUCUGGUGGGGCACAAUUCUGGCCCCAGGUAGGGCGACCGUAGCGGACACUUGGGAGUGAAAGGGACCCUUGAAUGACUACGGUGGGACAACAGAUGUGAGCUGGGAUUGUCCCGGGAAGGCUGGAUGUAUGGGCCCCUUGGGCCAGAGGAGACACAGCAGAAAGCUCUGUGGCCGAUGGGACCCAGCAGGAGAAGGGCCGGCCGAGGCUGGGGCAACGUCUUGCCUGCUGUGAAGGGCCUGUGUGAGCUGAUGGCUGACGGUGGGGCGAGGCUGCCUCCUGCCAGGCUAGACCAGCUCCAGGCCACCCAUAUCCCCUUUCCAGAACCAGUGAAUCCGUGGCUAGAAGGGGCUUCAGAAUUGACAGGACACUCAGGGAGUCGAACGGAAUGGCGGGAGUGGCCGCAGCAGGCUCAAGGCCUCCUCUGCUUUGUUUUCUGUGUUCUGUUCCUGGCGUCUAUAUCCUGGGGUUGCUGUGACAGAUGCCACAACCUGGGAGCUUACAAACAUAGCUUCCGGCGGCUCCUGGAGAUUCCCGGCAUUCCUUGGCCUGCAGACGUAUCACCACCAUCUCUGAUCUCUGGCCCCCGUCUCCACGUGACUUUCUCCCCCUGCCUGUGUGUCUUUCUCCUUUUCUGUCUUUUAUGAAGGUGCUCACCAUUGGAUUUAGGGCCCACUGAAUUCAGAAUGAUCUCACCUUGAGAUCCUUACCUUAAUUACAUCUGCAAAGAUCCGUUUUCCAAAUGAGAUCAUGUUCGCAGGUUCCAGGAGUUAGGACUUCAGACAUAUCGUUUUGGGGGACACUGUUGAAACCACUACGUUUAGUAAACUCAGAGUUGGUGCCAGUGUCCCCUGCGGACACCAUAGCAGAUUCUGGAAGCUACUUGUAAAGGAAUCCGUAGGACUUCUUUUCCUUUCUGGCUGUGUAGCUGGGCUUGGGAAAGCUGCUGGUUCAAGCUGGGGCUGGUUCAGCUGGUGCUGGCUUGCCAGGUUGCUCUAGAGCUUUAUCCAGGGAGAAAUUAACAUCACAAAGUUGGGGGAUAAGAGAAGGUUUGGAAUCCCAAGGGCUGACUGUUGAGGUCGGCUGCCCACCCCUUUGUGUUCCAUCUUAGGGGGACCCAGGGCUGCCAGGGCUCCGUUUUGGGAAGGAAUACUGUGGGCCGCUGUGCCCCAUAGGCAGGGUGGAGGGUCCCCUUGCAGCCAGCAAGCUGCUCUUCCUGU
Long non-coding RNA from Macaca fascicularis (crab-eating macaque), 2705 nucleotides. The record is from Ensembl. Lineage: Eukaryota; Metazoa; Chordata; Mammalia; Primates; Cercopithecidae.